AAUCCCGUGGCGCCCUCCUGCGCCCGGGAACCGGGGACCCACCUAGACCUGGGGUGAACUCACGGCCCUAUCCAGGCCGCGACAGGGCCGAGCUCCCGGUCCGAACCCGUCAGCUAACCCGGUAGGCGAUGAGGAGAGGAGAG
This 143-nucleotide small RNA is filed under the name Thermomonospora curvata. Its description in RNAcentral is "c-di-AMP sequence". It matches the Rfam family "c-di-AMP riboswitch aptamer (ydaO/yuaA leader)". From Rfam's summary of the family: This family represents a conserved RNA structure found upstream of the ydaO and yuaA genes in Bacillus subtilis and related genes in other bacteria. The ydaO/yuaA element is thought to act as a genetic "off" switch for the ydaO and yuaA genes in its native state. It is believed that the element may be triggered during osmotic shock leading to activation of ydaO, a predicted amino acid transporter gene, and members of the yuaA-yubG operon which code for KtrA and KtrB K+ transporters. RNAcentral also lists the same sequence under 1 other name. Lineage: Bacteria; Bacillati; Actinomycetota; Actinomycetes; Streptosporangiales; Thermomonosporaceae. The record is from RNAcentral.